AUUGAACGCUGGCGGCAUGCCUUACACAUGCAAGUCGAACGGUAACGCGGGGCAACCUGGCGACGAGUGGCGAACGGGUGAGUAACGCAUCGGAACGUGCCCAGUAGUGGGGGAUAGCCCGGCGAAAGCCGGAUUAAUACCGCAUACGACCUACGGGUGAAAGGGGGGGAUCGCAAGACCUCUCGCUAUUGGAGCGGCCGAUGUCAGAUUAGGUAGUUGGUGGGGUAAAGGCCUACCAAGCCUGCGAUCUGUAGCUGGUCUGAGAGGACGACCAGCCACCCUGGGACUGAGACACGGCCCAGACUCCUACGGGAGGCAGCAGUGGGGAAUUUUGGACAAUGGGCGCAAGCCUGAUCCAGCCAUGCCGCGUGCGGGAAGAAGGCCUUCGGGUUGUAAACCGCUUUUGUCAGGGAAGAAAAGCCUUGGGUUAAUACCCUGGGGUGAUGACGGUACCUGAAGAAUAAACACCGGCUAACUACGUGCCAGCCGCCGCAGUAA
This 498-nucleotide ribosomal RNA is filed under the name uncultured bacterium. RNAcentral describes it as "partial 16S ribosomal RNA". It matches the Rfam family "Bacterial small subunit ribosomal RNA", at positions 29 to 523 of the family's 1533-position model. The record is from RNAcentral.